GGGAUUACCUCAGUAACGGCGAGUGAAGCGGUAAAAGCUCAAAUUUGAAAUCUGGCUCUUUCAGAGUCCGAAUUGUAAUUUGUAGAAGAUGCUUCGGGUGUGGUUCCGGUCUAAGUUCCUUGGAACAGGUCAUCACAGAGGGUGAGAAUCCCGUAUGUGACUGGAUACCUAUGCUCAUGUGAAGCUCUUUCGACGAGUCGAGUUGUUUGGGAAUGCAGCUCAAAAUGGGUGGUAUAUUUCAUCUAAAGCUAAAUAUUGGCCAGAGACCGAUAGCGCACAAGUAGAGUGAUCGAAAGAUGAAAAGCACUUUGGAAAGAGAGUUAAACAGUACGUGAAAUUGUUGAAAGGGAAGCGCUUGCAAUCAGACUUGCCCCUAGUUCCAGUGGUGACUUGUUCACCGUUAAUCUGCCUAGGGUCAGGCCAGCAUCAGUUUGGAUGGUUAGAUAAAGGCUUGAAGAAUGUGGCCCUCUUCGGGGGGUGUUAUAGCUUCAGGUGCAAUGUAGCCUAUCUGGACUGAGGACCGCGCUUCGGCUAGGAUGCUGGCGUAAUGGUUGUAAGCGACCCGUCUUGAAACACGGACCAAGGAGUGUACCUCAUAUGCGAGUGUUUGGGUGUUAAACCCAUACGCGUAAUGAAAGUGAACGGAGGUGAGAACCCUUAAGGGUGCAUCAUCGACCGAUCCUGAUGUCUUCGGAUGGAUUUGAGUAAGAGCAUAUGGGGUGCGACCCGAAAGAUGGUGAUCUAUACGUGAAUAGGGUGAAGCCAGAGGAAACUCUGGUGGAGGCUCGCAGCGGUUCUGACGUGCAAAUCGAUCGUCAAAUUUGCGUAUAGGGGCGAAAGACUAAUCGA
RNAcentral lists this ribosomal RNA (849 nucleotides) under Septotinia populiperda. RNAcentral describes it as "eukaryotic LSU rRNA". It matches the Rfam family "Eukaryotic large subunit ribosomal RNA", at positions 71 to 938 of the family's 3401-position model. Lineage: Eukaryota; Fungi; Ascomycota; Leotiomycetes; Helotiales; Sclerotiniaceae. The record is from RNAcentral.